This 492-nucleotide ribosomal RNA is filed under the name uncultured bacterium. RNAcentral's name for it is "partial 16S ribosomal RNA". It matches the Rfam family "Bacterial small subunit ribosomal RNA", at positions 29 to 507 of the family's 1533-position model. The record is from RNAcentral.
AGUGAACGCUGGCGGUAGGCCUAACACAUGCAAGUCGAACGGCAGCACAGUAAGAGCUUGCUCUUACGGGUGGCGAGUGGCGGACGGUUGAGGAAUACAUCGGAAUCUACUUUUUCGUGGGGGAUAACGUAGGGAAACUUACGCUAAUACCGCAUACGACCUACGGGUGAAAGCAUGGGAUCUUCGGACCUUGCGCGAUUGAAUGAGCCGAUGUCGGAUUAGCUAGUUGGCGGGGUAAAGGCCCACCAAGGCGACGAUCCGUAGCUGGUCUGAGAGGAUGAUCAGCCACACUGGAACUGAGACACGGUCCAGACUCCUACGGGAGGCAGCAGUGGGGAAUAUUGGACAAUGGGCGCAAGCCUGAUCCAGCCAUACCGCGUGUGUGAAGAAGGCCUUCGGGUUGUAAAGCCCUUUUGUUGGGAAAGAAAAGCAGCAGGUUAAUACCCCGCUGUUCUGACGGUACCCAAAGAAUAAGCACCGGCUAACUUCGUG